UAGGGAAUCUUCCGCAAUGGACGCAAGUCUGACGGAGCAACGCCGCGUGAGUGAAGAAGGUCUUCGGAUCGUAAAGCUCUGUUGUUAGAGAAGAACAGCGCAUAGAGUAACUGUUAUGCGUGUGACGGUAUCUAACCAGAAAGCCACGGCUAACUACGUGCCAGCAGCCGCGGUAAUACGUAGGUGGCGAGCGUUGUCCGGAUUUAUUGGGCGUAAAGGGAGUGUAGGCGGUCUUUUAAGUCUGAUGUGAAAGCCCACGGCUCAACCGUGGAGGGUCAUUGGAAACUGGGAGACUCGAGUGCAGAAGAGGAGAGCGGAAUUCCAUGUGUAGCGGUGAAAUGCGUAGAUAUAUGGAGGAACACCAGUGGCGAAGGCGGCUCUCUGGUCUGUAACUGACGCUGAGGCUCGAAAGCGUGGGGAGCAAACAGGAUUAGAUACCCUGGUAGUCCACGCCGUAAACGAUGAGUGCUAAGUGUUGGAGGGGUUCCACCCUUCAGUGCUGGAGUUAACGCAAUAAGCACUCCGCCUGGGGAGUACGGCCGCAAGGCUG
This 550-nucleotide ribosomal RNA is filed under the name uncultured bacterium. Its description in RNAcentral is "bacterial SSU rRNA". It matches the Rfam family "Bacterial small subunit ribosomal RNA", at positions 355 to 896 of the family's 1533-position model. The record is from RNAcentral.